CACGUAGGGUGCGAGCGUUGUCCGGAAUUAUUGGGCGUAAAGAGCUCGUAGGCGGUGUGUCGCGUCGGCCGUGAAAACCUGCAGCUUAACUGUGGGCUUGCGGUCGAUACGGGCAUCACUGGAGUUCGGCAGGGGAGACUGGAAUUCCUGGUGUAGCGGUGAAAUGCGCAGAGUAUCAGGAGGAACACCGAUGGCGAAGGCAGGUCUCUGGGCCACUACUGACGCUGAGAAGCGAAAGCAUGGGGAGCGAACAGG
RNAcentral lists this ribosomal RNA (255 nucleotides) under uncultured bacterium. RNAcentral describes it as "partial 16S ribosomal RNA". It matches the Rfam family "Bacterial small subunit ribosomal RNA", at positions 524 to 776 of the family's 1533-position model. The record is from RNAcentral.